GCAAACUUGGUCAUUUAGAGGAAGUAAAAGUCGUAACAAGGUUUCCGUAGGUGAACCUGCGGAAGGAUCAUUACAGGGUUUUCAAAUGCCAAGGGGGUUUUUCUCCCCGAGGCAUGAUAACCAAGAUCAUCCACUGUGUGCACUCAUUGGAGUCAUUGGGAAAUUGAUUUUUCUGCAAUGGUUCCCAAACCUUUCUCUUUGCUUGAUAUCAUUUGUCUGAUCAAAUAAGAUUUGAAAAAUUAAUACAACUUUCAACAACGGAUCUCUUGGCUCUCGCAUCGAUGAAGAACGCAGC
Molecule: unclassified non-coding RNA, 295 nt
Filed under: uncultured fungus
Lineage: Eukaryota; Fungi
Description: partial contains small subunit ribosomal RNA, internal transcribed spacer 1, and 5.8S ribosomal RNA
Rfam family: Eukaryotic small subunit ribosomal RNA (bases 1-73)
Source: RNAcentral